CACGUAGGGGGCGAGCGUUGUCCGGAUUUAUUGGGCGUAAAGAGCUCGUAGGCGGCUCGGUAAGUGAGGUGUGAAAACUCCAGGCUCAACCUGGAGACGUCACCUCAUACUGCCGUGGCUAGAGUCCGGUAGGGGAGCAUGGAAUUCCUGGUGUAGCGGUGAAAUGCGCAGAUAUCAGGAGGAACACCAGUGGCGAAGGCGGUGCUCUGGGCCGGAACUGACGCUGAGAAGCGAAAGCGUGGGGAGCGAACAGG
Molecule: ribosomal RNA, 254 nt
Filed under: uncultured bacterium
Lineage: Bacteria
Description: partial 16S ribosomal RNA
Rfam family: Bacterial small subunit ribosomal RNA
Source: RNAcentral